RNAcentral lists this small nuclear RNA (219 nucleotides) under Mesocricetus auratus (golden hamster). RNAcentral's name for it is "7SK RNA". The stretch from base 1 to 193 matches the Rfam family "7SK RNA", at positions 103 to 331 of the family's 331-position model. Rfam says of the family: 7SK was discovered as an abundant small nuclear RNA in the mid-70s but a possible function has only recently been suggested. Two independent studies have found that 7SK RNA binds the CDK9/cyclin T complex (known as elongation factor P-TEFb). The record is from Rfam by way of RNAcentral. Lineage: Eukaryota; Metazoa; Chordata; Mammalia; Rodentia; Cricetidae.
AAUCCCCCAUCCCACCCUCCUGAAACUGCAUGUUUGGUUGAAGAGGACAAUCUUCCCCAAACAGAGGAGGACUGGUCUUUGUAUAAGGGGAUACAAGUUGCUGUGCUUCCCUACUAGAACAAGAUAAAAUAUUUUCUAUAAAAUGAUGUAAUGUCUGUACAUCACUUGAUGAUGUCCUCCUAUUUUUGUUAAAUCAUCUCUAGGUGGCUUGUAAUGCAA